CUGGUUGAUCCUGCCAGUUUUGGUACUCUCAAUUUGGAGCUUAAGCCAUGCAAACUACUGUCUGUCGUCCCGCAAGGGAAGGCAUUCAGCGUAUACGGCUCAGUAUAUCGAUGAAAUGAACGAACCGUGUUCACUCUUUGGUGAUAACGACGGAAAAGCUGUUGCUAAUACCACACACUCGUCGAGUGCGCGGGACUCGUUCUCGCCCUCGGCUGGCCUGCCGAGCAUUAAGCGCGGGUAUAGUACUCUUCGGAGUCAACCCGUUGCUGGAGUUGCGUCGGAAAGGCGUUGAAGGCUAUAGCUGCCGUCCAUGGAACGGUUAACUUGUUCGCUUUAUCACUGUCUGUUCACUCGGUCGUUUCGCAUUACGACCACCACGGGUGACGGAGGGUAAAAGCUCGAUGCCGGAGAGGUAGCCUUAGACACGGCUGCCACUUCUAAGGAAGGCAGCAGGCGCGAAAAUUACCCCAAUCUGUGGUCGGAGGAGGUAGUUACACAAAAUACCGACUCCGUACCCAAGAGACGGGUAUGGCUUGAGGAAUGUGAGCAACCCAAGCCCAUGCUCGGAACGCUACUGGAGGGCAAGUCUGGU
This 592-nucleotide ribosomal RNA is filed under the name uncultured eukaryote. RNAcentral's name for it is "bacterial SSU rRNA". It matches the Rfam family "Eukaryotic small subunit ribosomal RNA", at positions 4 to 565 of the family's 1831-position model. The record is from RNAcentral.